This 101-nucleotide microRNA precursor is filed under the name Chlorocebus sabaeus (green monkey). RNAcentral describes it as "miRNA (ENSCSAG00000021267.1)". Lineage: Eukaryota; Metazoa; Chordata; Mammalia; Primates; Cercopithecidae. The record is from RNAcentral.
GUCCUCAAUGUCAAAUAUUAGGUUGGUACAAAAGUAAUCGUGGUUUUGUUAUUUUAAUGGCAAAAACUGUGAUUACUUUUGCACCAAUCUAAUAACAAUAA